GAUGUUUGGCAAAAUACAUCAUUGGCAAACAUCGGGAGAACUGGUAAUGACAAAGACUUGUUCAAAAAAAAUUCUGUUGUUGCUUUCUCUAGCGCAUCAGCUACUCUGUUCUGCUCCCGGUAGAUGUGCCUCACUACCACGCUGCCCAUCCUUUGUAUGAUUGAUCUGCAUUCACAAGUUAGAGUGAUAAAAAACAGAUUUUCAUUUAAGAGCAUAUUUAUUGUUUCUAUUGAAUCAGUGUCUAUUUUCAGUGGAACUAGAUUAUUUUGCUCUGCUAGUUGUAGUCCCGGAAUAAGGGCCAGAACUUCUGCCCUUGCAUUUAUUGUUUGGGGUAUGUUGUCCAUGUAUCUCAAUAUCCAGUCUCUAUUGUGAUUUCUGAAUACUCCCCCUUAUCCGCCCAUUCCUGAUUUCCCCUUCGCUGCUCCAUCUGUAUUCAGUUUGAAAGAGCCCGAGAUUCCCAUUUUAG
RNAcentral lists this long non-coding RNA (466 nucleotides) under Nicotiana benthamiana. RNAcentral describes it as "long non-coding RNA (NBEN_LNC003609)". Lineage: Eukaryota; Viridiplantae; Streptophyta; Magnoliopsida; Solanales; Solanaceae. The record is from RNAcentral.